This 1485-nucleotide long non-coding RNA is filed under the name Zostera marina. RNAcentral's name for it is "long non-coding RNA (ZMAR_LNC002378)". The record is from RNAcentral. Lineage: Eukaryota; Viridiplantae; Streptophyta; Magnoliopsida; Alismatales; Zosteraceae.
UGUAAAGUUUGUAAAAACUUAUAAUUAAAUGUAUAGUCUGUAUUGAUUAAUUGAAAAGUUAUAUUUCUUAAUACAGGCCUAUUUUAGUCAGUUAUUAAAACUGACUUUGUCUUCUUCGUUCUCUGAUAGGCGUUCUCCUUCCACCAGCAUUCUUCUUCUUCUUCUUCUUCUUUUCCUUCUGUCUUCUUCUUCUUCUUUUCCUUCUGUCUUCUUCUUCUACUGAUUUACCCAAUAAAUCUGUUAUAGCAUUGGGCUAUAAAUUCAUUCCAUUCCAGAUCUCUACAUGGUAUCGUGAGCUUCUCAUUUUUCAAACUAAUAUUGAAAAUCAAUUAGAAUAUAAAAUAAAAUCAGUACACACUGAUGGUGGAGGAGAAUUCAUAAGUAACAAAUUUAAAAACUUACUAAAUAAAAAGAGAAUUAGUCAUAGGUUGACAUGCCCGUAUACACCUCAACAAAAUGGGGUGGUGGAAAGAAAACAUAGGCACCUAUUGGAAACAAGUAGAUGUUUCUUUAGUCAAUCUGAGGUACCUAAACACAUGUGACCAGAGGUAAUAUCCUCUGCAUGUUUUUUAAUCAAUAGGUUACCAAGUUCAGUUUUGAACUUUAUAUCCCCAUUUGAAAUGUUAACCAAAAAAAAACCUAAAUAUAAUUUUCUAAAAUUUUUUGGGUGUUCAUAUUUUCCUUUAAUUUCUAAAGGACUAAGGACUAAAUUUGAACCUACGGCAAAUAAAUGUGUUUUUAUAGGAUACUCAAAUAGACAUAAGGGUUAUUUGUGUAUGAAUUUAGAAAAUGAAAAAAUGAUUAUUUCAAGAAAUGUUAGGUUUAAUAAGAAAGAAUUUCCUUUUCUAGAAAAUGGAUUUAACAGAAAGAAUUAUGUAGGAAACCAUGUAUAAAUCUCGUCGAACUUGCAUAAGACAUGCAUAAGGAUUUAUUAUCAUGAGUAUCAUCAAAACACAUAAAAAUCCUAUGCAAAAACUUAUAUAAAAUUAUAUGCAAACCAUAUAAAAUGGUAUCUAAAGUAUGCAUAAAAAUCCAGCAACACCUAGAACAUUAAACACAUCAAAACAAGCAUCGAUAAACAUAUAAGAAAGCAUGUAUAAGCCUUGCCAAAAGGUAUAGAAGUACAUGAAUAAAGAUCUAUCAUGAUAUGUAGUACCAAAACAUAUAAAACAAUAUGCAAAAACGUAUAUAAAACUAUGUGCAAACCAUAUAAACGGUAUAUAAACGGUAUAUAAACGUAUGCAUAAAAAUCCAGCAACACAUAGGGUAUCAAACGUAUCAAACAACCAUUUAUAAGCAUAUAGAAAACUAUCAAAUCUUUCAUAACAAUGUAGAGAACUAGACUUACUCUUACACAUACUUACCACCAUUUCUAGAAAAGAAACUAUUAAAGAAGGCUACUACGAUUUCCGUACCUUUCUUUUUCCUAGCUGUCUCCGAGCUCUAGCUCCUCCUAGCUCCCCAAAACGUGUCCUCCCUCUUUUU